This 496-nucleotide ribosomal RNA is filed under the name uncultured bacterium. RNAcentral describes it as "partial 16S ribosomal RNA". It matches the Rfam family "Bacterial small subunit ribosomal RNA", at positions 28 to 507 of the family's 1533-position model. The record is from RNAcentral.
GAUGAACGCUGGCGGCGUGCCUAAUACAUGCAAGUCGAGCGAAAGCACGAGAAGCUCGUUCUCUUGCUGUUAGCGGCGGACGGGCGAGUAAGACGUAGAUCACCUUCCUAUUAUACUUGGAUAAUUUCGGGAGAACACUGAUACUAAUGGCUCAUAUUUCCUACGGGAUAGUUCAAAAGUGCAUCACGCUUUUGGCGUUUCUUAUAGAUGAUUUCGGGUUGGAUUAGUUGGUUGGUAAGGUAACGGCAUACCAAGGCAACGUAGCUUAGCUGACCUGAGAGGUUGAUCGGCCACCCUGGACUUGAGCACGGUCCAAACUCCUACGGGGGGCAACAGGUGGGAAUCUUCCGCAAUGGGCGAAAGCCUGACGGAACAACGCCGGGGGAGGGAUAGAAGUCUUCCGAGCUGAAAACUCUGUUAGUAGGGAAAAAAAUGUGGGUAAGUAACUGUGCACAGCUUGACGGUAACUAAACAGAAAGCCACGGCUAACUACGGU